Molecule: long non-coding RNA, 1085 nt
Organism: Cucumis melo (muskmelon)
Lineage: Eukaryota; Viridiplantae; Streptophyta; Magnoliopsida; Cucurbitales; Cucurbitaceae
Exons: 2
Source: RefSeq, a predicted model, not a curated record
UUCAUCAAAAUCUCCUUGGAAGUUCAUUUGUCGGACUACGGCUUUGGUGGUCAGCCGCACUCGGCAUCAUCUUGGUAACGUACUAUCAAUACUGCUCGUUUCUAGCCAAAUCAUCCAUAAGAGAUUUGACCGAGAAAGAGGAAGAUGGAUCGAUAGUCCAAAUCCAAGAGUCAGAGACCUCACGAAAACAGACUGUAAAUGCUGUGAUAAAGCCUAUGCCUUCUUUUUGUUUUUACACAGUAGUAGUUUUGUUGUGUUAAGGAGGAUCCGCCCACUUUGCCCUAUUCUCUUUCCUGUUUUUCUCUGGUUUUUUAGUUUUGCUGUACUAGACUGGACUUCGUUCCCCUUGUUUUUUGGUUCCUUAUUUCUAGUCUUAAUUGGGAUAUGAUGUUUUGGUGCUAAGGGGGUGUCGACCUAGUUGAAAUGUGCGGGUGCACUUUUUGAUCCCCUAGUUUUUUCGCUGUUUAGACUUUUUUUAUUGCUCUCAUUGUAUAAUUCUCUUGUACUUGGAGUUCUUAUUAUUAAUAAAGAAGUUUGUCUCCGUUUCAAAAAAAAAAACCACGAAGGAACAAUGAUAAUCGCCGAUCAUAUUACUUCAUUUUGGGAUGAAAAUUUUAUAUUUCUUCUUAGAAAAUACUGCUGACUGUCUUCAACGCCAUAUCCCAUACGUGGUUAUCUCUCCUUCUUUGUGUCAUAUGUGUCAUGCUCAUUCUGAAACUGCUGCGCACCUUCUUAUUCAUUGUAAUUAAGCUUUUUGUUUUUGGCGAUCUAUUCUUGAUACUUUUGGCUGGUCGGUGGCUCUUUCCCAGAAUAUAUAUUUUUUUUGAAACUCAAACAAACUUCUUUAUUAAUAAUAUGUUUGAUAACCUAGUGGAUCACCCAUUUAUUGGUUGGAAGAAAAUCCUUUGGUUGGCUAUCAUUCUGGCUUUCUUUUGGCUUCUUUGGGGAGAGCGGAAUAAGCGCCUUUUUCAUAAUGUUUCAACAUGCUUUGAUCGUUUCAGUGAUUUGGUUAUUUCUACUGCUUUGUAUUGGUGUAAAAAUAAACACCCUUUUAAGCUUUUAAGUCUUUCUUAUUUUGUUUCUCA